CCUCAACGUUCCAAUAUUUUUGGAGGGGAAUGUAUUUCUACAUUAAUUUUCUAUCCAUCAUUUUUACAGCAUAAAAAGAAGAUUAAACCAGACGAUUCUCCUCAGAGCUCUGCUGUGGAUGUGUCCACUCCUGCUGGACUUGCCAAGAUGCUCCUUCAACCCCACGAUAAACUGAGCUACAAGCUCCUCCGUGAGGCUAUGUCACAUACUCAGACAGCACACCAAACAAGACAGAUGAAAGAAGCUUCACUUGAAAAUAAAGUUCAAUUUAAUGUUCAGAAGGAGAGAGUUAAUCACCUUCAAUGGCAGGUGAAUCUAGGUGAACUCUUGUCCUCAACAGAGCAGAAAAUGAAGAUUUUGCAGGAACAAGAGUUUGCAGCUGCUGAGUAUAAAGCAGGAAGAGACUCAGGGGGCAGGGAGGCAGAUUUUAACAGUGUCUUGCCAAAACUGUCACUGCACCGUGUUCAGCGAAAUGCAGAGCAGACGCCUCACCACCUUCCUGCAUUCAGUGUGAAUGUCAGCAGUCAGCUGGAGGUCAGGCAGCGGCUGCUUAGACUCUUUCAACAAGCUGCUUAUAAGGUCAUUCUGCAGUGUCGUAUGAAAAAUAGACUGCUGGUGCUUCAAAAACUGGCCUCCAAUAUAAGGAAGAAAGUAGAAGGACAUAAAGGAACAGGUAGGACAAAUCCUAAAAUGAGCUUUAAACAGUAGUAUUUUGGUUUUGUUUGAAAGUUUACAUGCACUCUUCAUGAGAAGAAUAAAUGUGCAGUAUACAAUCUUUAAUACA
RNAcentral lists this long non-coding RNA (784 nucleotides) under Astyanax mexicanus (Mexican tetra). RNAcentral describes it as "lncRNA (ENSAMXG00005001535.1)". The record is from RNAcentral. Lineage: Eukaryota; Metazoa; Chordata; Actinopteri; Characiformes; Acestrorhamphidae.